Non-coding RNA from Coturnix japonica (Japanese quail), 3571 nucleotides. NCBI's taxonomy places the organism in Eukaryota, Metazoa, Chordata, Aves, Galliformes, Phasianidae. The record is from RefSeq and is a predicted model, not a curated record.
UGCGCGGUGUGAUCGGUGCGCUCACGCACGGCGCACACCUUACAAGUUUGAGCGGCAAUAACAUUGCUGCACACUAGGAGGGGAGGAGAGUCAGCUCCCUAUAAUAGGAAAAAAACUCCGCCGUUGCACAAAAGCGGAGCGUUUCCUCGCUCGAAAAAACCGUCCCUUCAGAGAGAAAGGGGGGUUGGGGGGAGGAGGGUGCGGGGGGGGGGGGGAGGAGAGGGAAGCAAAAGCAAAAGCAAGUUACCAAGAGCGAGAACUCGCGCAGCAACCAUCCGCCGCUCUUCCUCCUCUCCUCGGGACCGGAGCGGGGCUCUCCCCCUCCCCCCUGGCGAGGGCCCAGCCGCGCUCCGCCGCCUUUCUUAUUACUUCAUUGAGCCUGAGCGAUCCUCCAAGAGUCGCGUUUUGGGGAGGGGGGGGGUAGGGUGGAAGGGGGAGGUGGAGGGACGAGGAGGAGGGAAAAAGGCAACAUUCGCUGCUCAUCAUUUCCACCGCACCGCCAAAGUAACUGCGCCCCCCUCUCCUCCCGUCCCUCAGUCUGGAUUUUCUCUGUAUCCACAGCCGCCGCGCUGUUAGCCGUACCUUUUUCUUUCUUUUUUCAAUUUAGGAAAAAAAAUUUUUUUUAGCUUUGCUCCCCUCCCCCCAGUCCCUCGCAGUCCGGCAUCGUCCCCCCUUACCCCGCGCCCCCCCCCCAGCCCCUCUCCACCUCGCCCGGCAGCUCACAUCAAAGCGCCCUGCCUCACUCCCAGCGGCCGCCACUCACUAAUGGGAUUGCAGCGUGCCCGGCUCCGCCGCUGCAGCCGCCGGAGGGAGAGCCGCUGCCGCUGCGCCUCUUCGCCGAGAGCCGCCGGGUGCUGAGCCGCGGGGAUGAUCAGGAUCUUCCCGGAUUUCAGCGUGCAGGUGACGGCGGCGGCCGGCGGGGCGGCCGGGGGGGUGCCGGCGGCGCCGGGCAUGGGGCGAGCCGGAGCGGCGGCCAACGGGAACCCGCAGAACGUGCAGGGCAUCACCUCGUACCAACAACGGGAAUUCGCAGGGAGCGCCGUUAGGAAGCGGAGCGCACAAAGUUGGCAGGAACUCGCAGAGAAGUUCAGAGAGGUUCCCACCGCCCCAGCCAGCCCCGCUCCGCGCCGGCACUGCCUGAGCUCACUGCGGGCUGAGGUCGGGGUCACGCAAUACUGUGCGGGGCGAGACCCGGAGUGGGGCUCCGGAAGGGUCUCAGGAGCGAAGCAAAGUGCUCACAAGAGUACUGACAACACCUCAAUGUAGGCUGAGGUCGGAGCAACACAUUCACGUUCCUCUAAAUGCAAUAAUGUCCCAACGAACUGACUUUUCAAUACUAAAAAAAUCCUGAGAAAAAUGUUGUAUAAUAACAAAUACUUCAGCUAAAUCUCUCUAUAACGUAGAAGCUAAAACCAUAGAAAGCUUUAAUGUCGUAUUUCAAACAAAUGUUUUAGAAGUCAGACAGAGCAGUGCCUGCUUUGGUCUCAGCAACUUUGGGCUCCCCUCUCUCACUCUGGGAAACACACACUGUGUUUCCCCUCUGAUGCCCACGAUAGAAAAUAUUCGGUGCUAACUUUUUUGGGUUUUAUUAAAGGGAAAGGCAUGAGCACUAACAUCCUGCAACAUCCCCAGUGAUGCCCCAUCACCUCCUUAGAAUCAUUUGAACUAAGCCUGAGCCCUGCUUUGCCACCGACCGUCCCCAUACACAGUGUCUUGUCCGGGAGAGAGGGAAGGAGCGGAUUAAAGUUGGUUUCUUUUCACGGUUGCUCUAUGAUUUUUGUCACUUUUAAAAUCUUUAAAUUACAAUGGAAACUGACGGGCAUUUUAACGAGGAAGUACGGGCAGCGAUCACAAUAGUUGAGGCUGUGAAGUGGGGAAGUCAGGGGUCAGAAAUGUCACAUUGGCUUUUAGACAAAUAAAAGGGACCUCUGGAGACUUUAAGUUAAACAGAAAGAUACAGACGAGGCAGCGUGCGAAUUUGUAGUGCUCGGCGUUGGGGAGUUGGAUUGCGUCAGGCUCCGAGCAGGGGUAGCUCCAAGGGCAGGGCUCUGCCAAACUGUGACGGCCCCGGGCCAGGUGCUGUCCCGCAGCAGCGACCGCUUGGACCCUGGAGCACGCCGGGUGCCUCGGAAACAUUUCUGUGCUUCUUCCGAAUUGUAACUAUUACCGACACGACGGCGUCCUUUACGCUGAACGAUUUUACUCCGAGCUUUCUGGAAAAGCUUAAACCACAGCGGGCACGGACACCUCCUUCCGCGGUUGCACAAACCGAGAAUAACUGUCCAGCAUCCUCUGCCCAACCAAUCAGAAUGUAGGAAAAUCUACAGAUAUGACGGAAUCUACUGUGAAUCUACCUACCAGAAUUUACAAGCUUUGAGGAAGGAAAAGUCCCGAGAUGCCGCUCGCUCUCGUCGGGGAAAGGAGAAUUUUGAAUUCUAUGAGUUGGCAAAGUUGUUGCCACUGCCUGCAGCCAUUACCAGCCAGCUUGACAAGGCAUCCAUCAUUCGACUUACAAUUAGCUAUCUGAAAAUGAGGGACUUUGCUAAUCAAGGCGAUCCUCCAUGGAACUUGAGAAUGGAAGGACCUCCACCAAAUACAUCAGUAAAAGGGAUACAAAUGUGGAAAUCUGAGGUCUGCAUGAGAAAGACACCAUGUGAAGGUGAAAUAAACCUCUUUUAUUUAUUUUAAUUUAACAACAGACCUACUGAUAUAAAUAAUACAACAGUAAGCCUUUUGGGUAACGUACAUUUAACAGUUCAUAGUUAUUUAGCAAUGAUUGUGUUGUUUUUCUUAUUUUAAUAUUUUAUCAAUGGGUGUAUUUGAGAGGAACUUGGUGUUAUUUCUUGUAAGGACUCAGUCACACAAUUUCCAUCAUUAAAGCUUAAAGACAGAAUUGUGUCUUCAAGCUUGUGAACAUAACAUCAAAAAUUUUAAAUCUUUAGGUUAGAGACCAUGAUUUUAUUCAUUAUUUUGCAAUGCGUAUAUAAUUCAUUUUGACUUUUGAGCCUGUAGGCUUAACACUUCAGCUAAUAUAGCCUCUUUUCUAUACUGAAUACCUUCAUCUUUAAACAAGUAGCUGGGUGGUAAAACUAAUGUUUUGGUCAUGAAUCUCCAUACAAGUCUGGUAUUAGAGGAAUCAGAACUUUGAUUUUAGAGGUUAUAUGUGUAUUGUUCCUAGCUAAAGUUUCCGAUGACUUGUAUAAACUGGAUAUUUUUGUGUUAUUUUUUCCUACACUAUUUAUGUAGAAGAGUGAGAUCUUGCUGUUUGAUAAGUAUUAUAAACUAGUGGUUUAUUAAACCACUACUGCCCACAAGGGGUAGUAACCCCUUCAAGUGAAAGGAGUUUUUAGUUGCUCUUUCAUUUAAAGUAAGAAAGGUUGCUUAAGCAAAGUUAUAAUUUUCAGUGGAUGGAGAUAGACAUGGAGAGCAGCAACCAAAAGACUUCUGGGUUGAUGAUGAUCUUCUGGAUCUUGAUGAUUUAUUAGCUGGAUGUAUUUGGGUCACUUUGUAUAUUUCAUUUAUAUUAUUUGCCAUGCCAUGUAUUAUUUUAAUGAAGAAAAAAAAAAAAAAA